This 72-nucleotide transfer RNA is filed under the name Camelus bactrianus (Bactrian camel). It matches the Rfam family "tRNA". From Rfam's summary of the family: Transfer RNA (tRNA) molecules are approximately 80 nucleotides in length. Their secondary structure includes four short double-helical elements and three loops (D, anti-codon, and T loops). The record is from Rfam by way of RNAcentral. RNAcentral also lists the same sequence under 2 other names. Lineage: Eukaryota; Metazoa; Chordata; Mammalia; Artiodactyla; Camelidae.
GAGGAUAUAAGUCAGCGGUAGGGUGCAUGCUUAACAUGCAUGAGGUCCCGGGUUCAAUCCCCCGUACCUCCU